This 1179-nucleotide long non-coding RNA is filed under the name Homo sapiens (human). RNAcentral's name for it is "long intergenic non-protein coding RNA 2147". Lineage: Eukaryota; Metazoa; Chordata; Mammalia; Primates; Hominidae. The record is from RNAcentral.
GCUGUUCCUAAGCUCACAAAAUCUGAUGGCUUUAUAAACAGGAGUUUGCCUGCACAAGCUCUUUUUUUCUUUCUGGCCGCUGUCCACGUAAGAUGUGACUUGCUCCUCUUUGCCUUCUGCCAUGAUUGUGAAGCUUCCUAAGCCACGUGGAACUUUCUGGAGGCUGGAAGUCCAAGAUCAAGGUGCUAUCAGGGUUGGUUUCGGCUGUGGCCUCUCUUCCUGGCUUGUAGACAGCUAUCUUCUCGCAGUGUCCUCACGUGGCCUCUUUGUGUGAAGCAACAGCUCCAUAUGUUGAUGUGAACUGUGACUCCAGGAGAACGGUGGAAAAGUGUCUUGAUCCAGGAAGGAAGGGGUAUAGAGAAAAUAUGAGUCUCACCACACUAGAAGCAACAUAUGCAAAAUCCAUCAAACACACCAUAAAAUCAAUGUGGGAGUAACAACACCUUGGCCUACUGCUCCCUGAAAAGUUUUUCUCUCGUCAAGUGAUGACAGGCGUACAUUUGUAAAUAAAUUACCAAGUUGCUUUUGAUUUGAUGGAGAAGGAAGAAAAGGAUUGUCUCCUGGAAGUAUUUUUAUUGUCUUAAUAGGUAGGAUAAUAUCUCUGUUCAGCAAACUGAGAUCUUUUGAGAAUCUUAACAAAUGUAUACCCCUCCCUCUCACCUUUUCCUCUCUGGUGUAUUUCAUAGGCAGCUUUGCUAACUGACUGCACUACUACAAAUAGAUUCUGUCACUUUAGAAAUAGGAUUUUUCCUUUUAUAGGCAGAUUGAUGGACUAAGUGUCAAGGUUUUAGAACAGUAGCAUGACUGGGGCAGACACUAUAAACCAUAAAUCCAGUAUUGACAAAUGUUCUAGCCAAUCCAGAUUUUCUAUUUGUUAAAUUGCCUUUAUGAAGUCAUACUUGUGCAGCACAGAAUAUGGAAAAUAAUUGACAAGUUCUGAGAAGCCAGUUACUGAGCUCAUAGUUUAAUAAAGAAAAUGUUAAUGAACACUUGAGUAUUAUAAAUUGUUAUAAGAAGAUUCUCUCUUCAUUGUUUGCCAAAGUAUGCUAAUAAUUCUUGACUGACUAAUAAGCAGAGGUCAUUCUAGAUCUACAGAUUUUGAAAGUUGGAACUUUUUAUUUGUACCUUUUGUUUCACUUGUCAAAGUGAGCUAGUAACAUAGAAUAAACUAUAAAAAAU